GGGAAGGUAGCUCAGUGGUAUAGAGUGCUUGCCUUGCAUGCAUGAGGCCCUGGGUUCAAUUCCACAAUACCA
Molecule: transfer RNA, 72 nt
Filed under: Dipodomys ordii (Ord's kangaroo rat)
Lineage: Eukaryota; Metazoa; Chordata; Mammalia; Rodentia; Heteromyidae
Rfam family: tRNA
About the family: Transfer RNA (tRNA) molecules are approximately 80 nucleotides in length. Their secondary structure includes four short double-helical elements and three loops (D, anti-codon, and T loops).
Source: Rfam by way of RNAcentral